Molecule: ribosomal RNA, 253 nt
Filed under: uncultured bacterium
Lineage: Bacteria
Description: partial 16S ribosomal RNA
Rfam family: Bacterial small subunit ribosomal RNA
Source: RNAcentral
GACGGAGGAGGCAAGCGUUAUCCGGAAUUAUUGGGCGUAAAGCGUCCGCAGGUGGCCUUCCAAGUCUGCUGUCAAAUCCCGAGGCUUAACCUCAGAUUGGCAGUCGAAACUGGUAGGCUAGAGUAUGUUAGGGGUAGGGGGAAUUUUCGGUGUAGCGGUGAAAUGCGUAGAGAUCGGGAAGAACACCGGCGACGAAAGUGCCUUACUGGGCCAUUACUAACAAUAAUAGACGAAAGAUAGGGGAGCGAAAGGG